AUUAAGAGCUUGCUCUUAUGAAGUUAGCGGCGGACGGGUGAGUAACACGUGGGUAACCUGCCCAUAAGACUGGGAUAACUCCGGGAAACCGGGGCUAAUACCGGAUAACAUUUUGAACCGCAUGGUUCGAAAUUGAAAGGCGGCUUCGGCUGUCACUUAUGGAUGGACCCGCGUCGCAUUAGCUAGUUGGUGAGGUAACGGCUCACCAAGGCAACGAUGCGUAGCCGACCUGAGAGGGUGCACGGCCACACUGGGACUGAGACACGACAAAAAUUAAUACGGGAGGCAGCAGUAGGGAAUCUUCCGCAAUGGACGAAAGUCUGACGGAGCAACGCCGCGUGAGUGAUGAAGGCUUUCGGGUCGUAAAACUCUGUUGUUAGGGAAGAACAAGUGCUAGUUGAAUAAGCUGGCACCUUGACGGUACCUAACCAGAAAGCCACGGCUAACUACGUGCCAGCAGCCGCGGUAAUACGUAGGUGGCAAGCGUUAUCCGGAAUUAUUGGGCGUAAAGCGCGCGCAGGUGGUUUCUUAAGUCUGAUGUGAAAGCCCACGGCUCAACCGUGGAGGGUCAUUGGAAACUGGGAGACUUGAGUGCAGAAGAGGAAAGUGGAAUUCCAUGUGUAGCGGUGAAAUGCGUAGAGAUAUGGAGGAACACCAGUGGCGAAGGCGACUUUCUGGUCUGUAACUGACACUGAGGCGCGAAAAGCGUGAUAAGCAAACAGGAUUAGAUACCCUGGUAGUCCACGCCGUAAACGAUGAGUGCUAAGUGUUAGAGGGUUUCCGCCCUUUAGUGCUGAAGUUAACGCAUUAAGCACUCCGCCUGGGGAGUACGGCCGCAAGGCUGAAACUCAAAGGAAUUGACGGGGGCCCGCACAAGCGGUGGAGCAUGUGGUUUAAUUCGAAGCAACGCGAAGAACCUUACCAGGUCUUGACAUCCUCUGACAACCCUAGAGAUAGGGCUUCUCCUUCGGGAGCAGAGUGACAGGUGGUGCAUGGUUGUCGUCAGCUCGUGUCGUGAGAUGUUGGGUUAAGUCCCGCAACGAGCGCAACCCUUGAUCUUAGUUGCCAUCAUUUAGUUGGGCACUCUAAGGUGACUGCCGGUGACAAACCGGAGGAAGGUGGGGAUGACGUCAAAUCAUCAUGCCCCUUAUGACCUGGGCUACACACGUGCUACAAUGGACGGUACAAAGAGCUGCAAGACCGCGAGGUGGAGCUAAUCUCA
This 1222-nucleotide ribosomal RNA is filed under the name Bacillus anthracis (anthrax bacterium). RNAcentral's name for it is "bacterial SSU rRNA". It matches the Rfam family "Bacterial small subunit ribosomal RNA", at positions 71 to 1276 of the family's 1533-position model. The record is from RNAcentral. Lineage: Bacteria; Bacillati; Bacillota; Bacilli; Caryophanales; Bacillaceae.